GAGGAAUAUUGGUCAAUGGGCGAGAGCCUGAACCAGCCAAGUCGCGUGAAGGACGACGGUUCUAUGGAUUGUAAACUUCUUUUGUAGAGGAAUAAUGGCAGCUACGCGUAGCUGAGAUGCAUGUACUCUACGAAUAAGUAUCGGCUAACUCCGUGCCAGCAGCCGCGGUAAUACGGAGGAUACGAGCGUUAUCCGGAAUUAUUGGGUUUAAAGGGUGCGUAGGUGGCGUAUUAAGUCAGUGGUGAAAAGCUGCAGCUCAACUGUAGUCUUGCCGUUGAAACUGAUAUGCUAGAGAGGAGACGAGGUAUGCGGAAUGUGUGGUGUAGCGGUGAAAUGCAUAGAUAUCACACAGAACGCCGAUUGCGAAGGCAGCGUACCAGGCUCCGUCUGACACUGAAGCACGAAAGCGUGGGGAUCAAACAGGAUUAGAUACCCUGGUAGUCCACGCAGUAAACGAUGAAUACUAGAUUUUUGCGAUAUAGUGUAAGAGUCUAAGCGAAAGCGAUAAGUAUUCCACCUGGGGAGUACGCCGGCAACGGUG
This 541-nucleotide ribosomal RNA is filed under the name uncultured bacterium. Its description in RNAcentral is "bacterial SSU rRNA". It matches the Rfam family "Bacterial small subunit ribosomal RNA", at positions 356 to 896 of the family's 1533-position model. The record is from RNAcentral.